CGGCAGACAAUCGCUCGCGCCAGCGAGAGGAAAGUCCGGACACCGCAGGGCAAUCCGCCGGUUGUGAAAACCGGGCGCUGACGGUCAAGCGUCAGUGACGGACAGUGUCACAGAAAACAAACCGCCACGAGCGUCAACGCAGUGGCAAGGGUGAAACGGUGGGGCAAGAGCCUACCGCGCGAAGGGCGACCGACGCGGCACGACAAACCCCGGAUGGUGCAAGGUUAAACAGGAAGCGAUGGCGGCCCGCCAUGCCGCAAGGCAGCUUCCGGGUAAACCGCCGCCUUGGUUGACAAGGCUGUCGCCGGCGACGGCGGCAAGAUAAAUGAUUGUCGCUCCGCAAGGAGCACAGAAUCCGGCUUAUCGCCGCAAC
This 373-nucleotide RNase P RNA is filed under the name Verrucomicrobiales bacterium. RNAcentral's name for it is "RNase P RNA component class A". It matches the Rfam family "Bacterial RNase P class A". From Rfam's summary of the family: Ribonuclease P (RNase P) is a ubiquitous endoribonuclease, found in archaea, bacteria and eukarya as well as chloroplasts and mitochondria. Lineage: Bacteria; Pseudomonadati; Verrucomicrobiota; Verrucomicrobiia; Verrucomicrobiales. The record is from RNAcentral.